RNAcentral lists this ribosomal RNA (2634 nucleotides) under Escherichia coli. RNAcentral describes it as "partial 23S ribosomal RNA". It matches the Rfam family "Bacterial large subunit ribosomal RNA", at positions 306 to 2925 of the family's 2925-position model. Lineage: Bacteria; Pseudomonadati; Pseudomonadota; Gammaproteobacteria; Enterobacterales; Enterobacteriaceae. The record is from RNAcentral.
GAGCCUGAAUCAGUGUGUGUGUUAGUGGAAGCGUCUGGAAAGGCGCGCGAUACAGGGUGACAGCCCCGUACACAAAAAUGCACAUACUGUGAGCUCGAUGAGUAGGGCGGGACACGUGGUAUCCUGUCUGAAUAUGGGGGGACCAUCCUCCAAGGCUAAAUACUCCUGACUGACCGAUAGUGAACCAGUACCGUGAGGGAAAGGCGAAAAGAACCCCGGCGAGGGGAGUGAAAAAGAACCUGAAACCGUGUACGUACAAGCAGUGGGAGCCUCUUAAUGGGGUGACUGCGUACCUUUUGUAUAAUGGGUCAGCGACUUAUAUUCUGUAGCAAGGUUAACCGAAUAGGGGAGCCGAAGGGAAACCGAGUCUUAACUGGGCGUUAAGUUGCAGGGUAUAGACCCGAAACCCGGUGAUCUAGCCAUGGGCAGGUUGAAGGUUGGGUAACACUAACUGGAGGACCGAACCGACUAAUGUUGAAAAAUUAGCGGAUGACUUGUGGCUGGGGGUGAAAGGCCAAUCAAACCGGGAGAUAGCUGGUUCUCCCCGAAAGCUAUUUAGGUAGCGCCUCGUGAAUUCAUCUCCGGGGGUAGAGCACUGUUUCGGCAAGGGGGUCAUCCCGACUUACCAACCCGAUGCAAACUGCGAAUACCGGAGAAUGUUAUCACGGGAGACACACGGCGGGUGCUAACGUCCGUCGUGAAGAGGGAAACAACCCAGACCGCCAGCUAAGGUCCCAAAGUCAUGGUUAAGUGGGAAACGAUGUGGGAAGGCCCAGACAGCCAGGAUGUUGGCUUAGAAGCAGCCAUCAUUUAAAGAAAGCGUAAUAGCUCACUGGUCGAGUCGGCCUGCGCGGAAGAUGUAACGGGGCUAAACCAUGCACCGAAGCUGCGGCAGCGACACUAUGUGUUGUUGGGUAGGGGAGCGUUCUGUAAGCCUGUGAAGGUGUACUGUGAGGUAUGCUGGAGGUAUCAGAAGUGCGAAUGCUGACAUAAGUAACGAUAAAGCGGGUGAAAAGCCCGCUCGCCGGAAGACCAAGGGUUCCUGUCCAACGUUAAUCGGGGCAGGGUGAGUCGACCCCUAAGGCGAGGCCGAAAGGCGUAGUCGAUGGGAAACAGGUUAAUAUUCCUGUACUUGGUGUUACUGCGAAGGGGGGACGGAGAAGGCUAUGUUGGCCGGGCGACGGUUGUCCCGGUUUAAGCGUGUAGGCUGGUUUUCCAGGCAAAUCCGGAAAAUCAAGGCUGAGGCGUGAUGACGAGGCACUACGGUGCUGAAGCGACAAAUGCCCUGCUUCCAGGAAAAGCCUCUAAGCAUCAGGUAACAUCAAAUCGUACCCCAAACCGACACAGGUGGUCAGGUAGAGAAUACCAAGGCGCUUGAGAGAACUCGGGUGAAGGAACUAGGCAAAAUGGUGCCGUAACUUCGGGAGAAGGCACGCUGAUAUGUAGGUGAAGCGACUUGCUCGUGGAGCUGAAAUCAGUCGAAGAUACCAGCUGGCUGCAACUGUUUAUUAAAAACACAGCACUGUGCAAACACGAAAGUGGACGUAUACGGUGUGACGCCUGCCCGGUGCCGGAAGGUUAAUUGAUGGGGUUAGCGGUAACGCGAAGCUCUUGAUCGAAGCCCCGGUAAACGGCGGCCGUAACUAUAACGGUCCUAAGGUAGCGAAAUUCCUUGUCGGGUAAGUUCCGACCUGCACGAAUGGCGUAAUGAUGGCCAGGCUGUCUCCACCCGAGACUCAGUGAAAUUGAACUCGCUGUGAAGAUGCAGUGUACCCGCGGCAAGACGGAAAGACCCCGUGAACCUUUACUAUAGCUUGACACUGAACAUUGAGCCUUGAUGUGUAGGAUAGGUGGGAGGCUUUGAAGUGUGGACGCCAGUCUGCAUGGAGCCGACCUUGAAAUACCACCCUUUAAUGUUUGAUGUUCUAACGUGGGCCCCUUACCGGGGUUGCGGACAGUGUCUGGUGGGUAGUUUGACUGGGGCGGUCUCCUCCUAAAGAGUAACGGAGGAGCACGAAGGUUGGCUAAUCCUGGUCGGACAUCAGGAGGUUAGUGCAAUGGCAUAAGCCAGCUUGACUGCGAGCGUGACGGCGCGAGCAGGUGCGAAAGCAGGUCAUAGUGAUCCGGUGGUUCUGAAUGGAAGGGCCAUCGCUCAACGGAUAAAAGGUACUCCGGGGAUAACAGGCUGAUACCGCCCAAGAGUUCAUAUCGACGGCGGUGUUUGGCACCUCGAUGUCGGCUCAUCACAUCCUGGGGCUGAAGUAGGUCCCAAGGGUAUGGCUGUUCGCCAUUUAAAGUGGUACGCGAGCUGGGUUUAGAACGUCGUGAGACAGUUCGGUCCCUAUCUGCCGUGGGCGCUGGAGAACUGAGGGGGGCUGCUCCUAGUACGAGAGGACCGGAGUGGACGCAUCACUGGUGUUCGGGUUGUCAUGCCAAUGGCACUGCCCGGUAGCUAAAUGCGGAAGAGAUAAGUGCUGAAAGCAUCUAAGCACGAAACUUGCCCCGAGAUGAGUUCUCCCUGACUCCUUGAGAGUCCUGAAGGAACGUUGAAGACGACGACGUUGAUAGGCCGGGUGUGUAAGCGCAGCGAUGCGUUGAGCUAACCGGUACUAAUGAACCGUGAGGCUUAACCUU